UACGUAGGGCGCAAGCGUUGUCCGGAAUUAUUGGGCGUAAAGAGCUCGUAGGCGGUUGGUCGCGUCUGCUGUGAAACCCCGAGGCUCAACCUCGGGCCUGCAGUGGGUACGGGCCAGCUAGAGUGCGGUAGGGGAGAUCGGAAUUCCUGGUGUAGCGGUGGAAUGCGCAGAUAUCAGGAGGAACACCAAUGGCGAAGGCAGAUCUCUGGGCCGUAACUGACGCUGAGGAGCGAAAGCGUGGGGAGCGAACAGG
RNAcentral lists this ribosomal RNA (253 nucleotides) under uncultured bacterium. RNAcentral's name for it is "partial 16S ribosomal RNA". It matches the Rfam family "Bacterial small subunit ribosomal RNA", at positions 524 to 776 of the family's 1533-position model. The record is from RNAcentral.